AAGAAAAAUGUUGCGACGUGUAAAAGAAUGAGCCAACGAACGAGGGGAUGCAAUGUGAGGUGCAAUGCGGACAAAGUGAGCGAUAAAUGCGGCUUUCUUGAUGAAAAACGAUCGGAGAUGCAAGAUCUCCGUUACCUGUACAGGAGGGAUAAUUUUUCAAGUAAAGCUCAAGAAAAAUCCGCAACUACUUCUCUAUGUAUCCUACAACAAAUGGCUCAGUAAAAGCUUCAACAAAGCGCGAAUGCAGAAGAUUAAUAUUAAAAGAUGUGAGAAUAGAACCCCAUAUUAUUAUAUGCAUAUAUUUCAUUACUUCAUUUUCCAUAAUUGCAACACGUGCUUGUAUAUUGCGGAUCAGGACAACCACACAGAAGCAUC
Apis dorsata (giant honeybee) is the source of this 375-nucleotide long non-coding RNA. RefSeq lists it as uncharacterized. NCBI's taxonomy places the organism in Eukaryota, Metazoa, Arthropoda, Insecta, Hymenoptera, Apidae. The record is from RefSeq and is a predicted model, not a curated record. The transcript has 2 exons.